This 462-nucleotide ribosomal RNA is filed under the name uncultured bacterium. Its description in RNAcentral is "bacterial SSU rRNA". It matches the Rfam family "Bacterial small subunit ribosomal RNA", at positions 28 to 523 of the family's 1533-position model. The record is from RNAcentral.
GAUGAACGCUGGUGGCGUGUCUAAGGCAUGCAAGUCGAAUGGGUUAGACCCAUGGCAAACGGGUGAGUAACACAUUGGUAACCUACCUCGAAGUUCGGCAUAACUCCGCGAAAGUGGAGAUAAUACCGGAUGUGCUCAUGAUUCGAAAGAAUCAUGCGUAAAGAUUUAUCGCUUCGAGAGGGGCCUAUGGUCUAUCAGCUAGUUGGUAAGGUAAAAGCUUACCAAGGCUACGACGGAUAGCGGGCGUGAGAGCGCGACCCGCCUCACUGGGACUGAGAAACUGCCCAGACUCCUACGGGAGGCUGCAGUCAAGAAUAUUCCUCAAUGGACGAAAGUCUGAAGGAGCGACGCCGCGUGGAGGAUGAAGCCCUUCGGGGUGUAAACUUCUUUUUUCUAGGGACGAACACAUGACGGUACCUGAAGAAUAAGGGGCUGCUAACUUCGUGCCAGCCGCCGCGGUAA